This 673-nucleotide ribosomal RNA is filed under the name Euchloe olympia (Olympia marblewing). RNAcentral describes it as "partial 16S ribosomal RNA". The record is from RNAcentral. Lineage: Eukaryota; Metazoa; Arthropoda; Insecta; Lepidoptera; Pieridae.
UAGGGGGUAAAUUAAUAAAUUAUAUAAAUAAAAAAAAAAUUUUUAAUAAAAAUAAUUUAAUUGGGGGGUAAAAGUAUUUUGAAUAGAAAAAAUUUAAAUAUUUAUAAAGAAUUAGUAUUGUAAAAGAAUUUUGAAAAAUAAUGAAAAAUAAUUUAUUAUAAAGUAAAUUUAAUUUAUUGUAUCUUGUGUAUCAGAGUUUAUUAAUUAGAAUUUUUAAUUAGAAAUUUCUCGAAUUUAAAAGAGUUAAUUAAUUAAUAAAGUUAAUGUUGCAUAAUUAUUUUUAAUAAUUAAUUAGAAAUGAAAUGUUAAUCGUUUUUAAAUAUAUCUAGUUUUUUUAGAAAAAAAUUUAAUUUUAAAUUGAGAUUUAAUUUUUUAUUAAUUUUUUUAAUAAAGAAUAAUUUUAAUUUAAUAUUUUAGGGGAUAAGCUUUAAAUUAAAAUUUUUAAUAAAUUUGUUUUUAAUAUUUGAAAUUUUUAAAAUUUAUAUUUUUUAUAAAUUAUAAUUUUUUAUAAAUAAUUCCAUUUAUUUUAAAAUUUAAAAUUAAAUUAUUUAAUUUUUUAUAAAAAUUUAAUUUUUAAUAAAAUAAAUUUAGAAAUAAUGAUAAAAUUAGUAUAUUUUUAUUUUAAAAAAAAAUGAAAUAAUAAAUAGAUAAUAAAAAGGAAUUCGGCAAAAAU